This 467-nucleotide ribosomal RNA is filed under the name uncultured bacterium. RNAcentral describes it as "partial 16S ribosomal RNA". It matches the Rfam family "Bacterial small subunit ribosomal RNA", at positions 29 to 507 of the family's 1533-position model. The record is from RNAcentral.
AUGAACGCUGACAGAAUGCUUAACACCUGCAAGUCAACUUGAAUUUGGGCUUUUUAACUUAGAUUUGGGUGGCGGACGGGUGAGUAACGCGUAAAGAACUUGCCUCCCAGCUAGGGACAACAUUUGGAAACGAAUGCUAAUACCUGAUAUUAUGAUUAUAAGGCAUCUUAGAAUUAUGAAAGCUAUAUGCGCUGUGAGAGAGCUUUGCGUCCCAUUAGCUAGUUGGAGAGGUAACGGCUCACCAAGGCGAUGAUGGGUAGCCGGCCUGAGAGGGUGAACGGCCACAAGGGGACUGAGACACGGCCCUUACGCCUACGGGAGGCAGCAGUGGGGAAUAUUGGACAAUGGACCAAGAGUCUGAUCCAGCAAUUCUGUGUGCACGAUGACGUUUUUCGGAAUGUAAAGUGCUUUCAGUUGGGAAGAAAAAAAUGACGGUACCAACAGAAGAAGUGACGGCUAAAUACGUG